Long non-coding RNA from Chenopodium quinoa (quinoa), 957 nucleotides. RefSeq lists it as uncharacterized. The transcript has 3 exons. The record is from RefSeq and is a predicted model, not a curated record. NCBI's taxonomy places the organism in Eukaryota, Viridiplantae, Streptophyta, Magnoliopsida, Caryophyllales, Amaranthaceae.
CAUAAAGCUUGAUAAAAAACACCUAAAAUAAAAUUAAAAGGCAUAUGCAACACCUACUCUAUAACAAGCGAUACGUAUACUAUACACAUCCCAUCUUUCAUCAUGUGUGACUCAUAAAGUAUUACUUUACAAGUCGCCUCUAAUUCUACAUUAUUAUAGGCGACACCUUUGGUCCUUUGCCAAGUUAAGAAAGCAGCUUAAAACAAAAACCCUAGAAUCCUCAUUCAUUUAUUCAUUCAUUCAUUCCCUUGUCUUUUUUUGUUUCAUCCUCGCCUCCCUCAUUCAUUCCCUUGGUGUUUUUGUUCCUUCCUCUCAUCGCCUCUCACCGACAAUGACUACCACCUUCUACUUGUCUCCAUUGUCAGCCACGGAUUUAUUUCUCUUCUUCAAUCUCUCAUUCCUCUUUCUCACCUCAAAAGGAUCAACAAAGGAGGAGAGACAAAAUCCCUUACAACUUUCGUGUUUUCUCUCACUAAUUCAUCAUUUCAUCUUCACUUUCUUUCUCCUUUUCGACUACGACGACGACUUUCUUCCAUUUCUGGUUACUUGAGUAUGUGUUACAAUCGUUAGUUGUGGCAGUUGAGGUAGAUAUGUCGUGGUUGAUCUUGCAGCUGAAUAAUGGAUUUGGUGGCUAAAUGUAAGUUUAUUUUAUGACAGGGCAAAUCACAAGGUGAGCAUGAAGCAAGUAGGAGACUUAAAGACUCAGAUUCUCAUUGAGAUUGAAAGCUUUGAUAGUUAAGUGAUCAGAUUCUGUAUAUAGGUGAAUGUUCAUAUUUUUAUGGCAGAUUCCUAGAAGUUUUACCAUUUAAGUUUUUGAAAGCCUAUUAGCUCAAAUGGUAGAGCAAUGUGCUAUUGCACAUAGAUGUAGGUUCAAGUCCUACAUAGGUUUUAAUUAUAUACAGUAGCAAGCUAAGUGUGAAUUUAAUGAGGAAAAAAACAGUAUUUUGUGCAUCGCCA